RNAcentral lists this ribosomal RNA (505 nucleotides) under uncultured bacterium. RNAcentral describes it as "partial 16S ribosomal RNA". It matches the Rfam family "Bacterial small subunit ribosomal RNA", at positions 28 to 507 of the family's 1533-position model. The record is from RNAcentral.
GACGAACGCUGGCGGCGUGCCUAAUACAUGCAAGUAGAACGCACAGUUUAUACCGUAGCUUGCUACACCAUAAACUGUGAGUUGCGAACGGGUGAGUAACGCGUAGGUAACCUGCCUGGUAGCGGGGGAUAACUAUUGGAAACGAUAGCUAAUACCGCAUAAUAUUGAUUAUUGCAUGAUAAUUGAUUGAAAGAUGCUAUUGCAUCACUACCAGAUGGACCUGCGUUGUAUUAGCUAGUAGGUGAGGUAACGGCUCACCUAGGCGACGAUACAUAGCCGACCUGAGAGGGUGAUCGGCCACACUGGGACUGAGACACGGCCCAGACUCCUACGGGAAGCAGCAGUAGGGAAUCUUCGGCAAUGGACGAAAGUCUGACCGAGCAACGCCGCGUGAGUGAAGAAGGUUUUCGGAUCGUAAAGCUCUGUUGUAAGAGAAGAACGGGUGUGAGAGUGGAAAGUUCACACUGUGACGGUAUCUUACCAGAAAAGGACGGCUAACUACGUG